This 253-nucleotide ribosomal RNA is filed under the name uncultured bacterium. Its description in RNAcentral is "partial 16S ribosomal RNA". It matches the Rfam family "Bacterial small subunit ribosomal RNA", at positions 524 to 776 of the family's 1533-position model. The record is from RNAcentral.
UACGGAGGGUGCAAGCGUUAUCCGGAUUUACUGGGUUUAAAGGGUGCGUAGGCGGGCCUGUAAGUCAGUGGUGAAAUCUUCCCGCUUAACGGGAAAACUGCCAUUGAUACUAUAGGUCUUGAAUUCAGUUGAGGUGGGCGGAAUGUGUCGUGUAGCGGUGAAAUGCUUAGAUAUGACACAGAACACCGAUUGCGAAGGCAGCUCACUAAACUGUAACUGACGCUGAGGCACGAAAGCGUGGGGAUCAAACAGG